GGGUUGUGAGGUUAAGCGACUAAGCGUACACGGUGGAUGCCCUGGCAGUCAGAGGCGAUGAAGGACGUGCUAAUCUGCGAUAAGCGCCGGUAAGGUGAUAUGAACCGUUAUAACCGGCGAUUUCCGAAUGGGGAAACCCAGUGUGACUCGUCACACUAUCAUUAACUGAAUCCAUAGGUUAAUGAGGCGAACCGGGGGAACUGAAACAUCUAAGUACCCCGAGGAAAAGAAAUCAACCGAGAUUCCCCCAGUAGCGGCGAGCGAACGGGGAGGAGCCCAGAGCCUGAAUCAGCAUAUGUGUUAGUGGAAGCGUCUGGAAAGGCGCGCGAUACAGGGUGACAGCCCCGUACACAAAAGCGCAUGUGCUGUGAGCUCGAUGAGUAGGGCGGGACACGUGGUAUCCUGUCUGAAUAUGGGGGGACCAUCCUCCAAGGCUAAAUACUCCUGACUGACCGAUAGUGAACCAGUACCGUGAGGGAAAGGCGAAAAGAACCCCGGCGAGGGGAGUGAAAAAGAACCUGAAACCGUGUACGUACAAGCAGUGGGAGCACCCUUUGGGGUGUGACUGCGUACCUUUUGUAUAAUGGGUCAGCGACUUAUAUUCUGUAGCAAGGUUAACCGAAUAGGGGAGCCGGAGGGAAACCGAGUCUUAAUUGGGCGUUAAGUUGCAGGGUAUAGACCCGAAACCCGGUGAUCUAGCCAUGGGCAGGUUGAAGGUUGGGUAACACUAACUGGAGGACCGAACCGACUAAUGUUGAAAAAUUAGCGGAUGACCUGUGGCUGGGGGUGAAAGGCCAAUCAAACCGGGAGAUAGCUGGUUCUCCCCGAAAGCUAUUUAGGUAGCGCCUCGUGAAUUCAUCUCCGGGGGUAGAGCACUGUUUCGGCUAGGGGGCCAUCCCGGCUUACCAACCCGAUGCAAACUGCGAAUACCGGAGAAUGUUAUCACGGGAGACACACGGCGGGUGCUAACGUCCGUCGUGAAGAGGGAAACAACCCAGACCGCCAGCUAAGGUCCCAAAGUCAUGGUUAAGUGGGAAACGAUGUGGGAAGGCCCAGACAGCCAGGAUGUUGGCUUAGAAGCAGCCAUCAUUUAAAGAAAGCGUAAUAGCUCACUGGUCGAGUCGGCCUGCGCGGAAGAUGUAACGGGGCUAAACCAUGCACCGAAGCUGCGGCAGCGACGCUGAUGCGUUGUUGGGUAGGGGAGCGUUCUGUAAGCCUGCGAAGGUGGCCUGUGAGGGUUGCUGGAGGUAUCAGAAGUGCGAAUGCUGACAUAAGUAACGAUAAAGCGGGUGAAAAGCCCGCUCGCCGGAAGACCAAGGGUUCCUGUCCAACGUUAAUCGGGGCAGGGUGAGUCGACCCCUAAGGCGAGGCCGAAAGGCGUAGUCGAUGGGAAACGGGUUAAUAUUCCCGUACUUGGUGUUACUGCGAAGGGGGGACGGAGAAGGCUAUGUUGGCCGGGCGACGGUUGUCCCGGUUUAAGCGUGUAGGUGUGUGUUCCAGGUAAAUCCGGUUCACUUUAACACUGAGGCGUGAUGACGAGGCACUACGGUGCUGAAGCAACAAAUGCCCUGCUUCCAGGAAAAGCCUCUAAGCAUCAGGUAACAUCAAAUCGUACCCCAAACCGACACAGGUGGUCAGGUAGAGAAUACCAAGGCGCUUGAGAGAACUCGGGUGAAGGAACUAGGCAAAAUGGUGCCGUAACUUCGGGAGAAGGCACGCUGACACGUAGGUGAAGUGAUUUACUCAUGGAGCUGAAGUCAGUCGAAGAUACCAGCUGGCUGCAACUGUUUAUUAAAAACACAGCACUGUGCAAACACGAAAGUGGACGUAUACGGUGUGACGCCUGCCCGGUGCCGGAAGGUUAAUUGAUGGGGUCAGCGCAAGCGAAGCUCCUGAUCGAAGCCCCGGUAAACGGCGGCCGUAACUAUAACGGUCCUAAGGUAGCGAAAUUCCUUGUCGGGUAAGUUCCGACCUGCACGAAUGGCGUAAUGAUGGCCAGGCUGUCUCCACCCGAGACUCAGUGAAAUUGAACUCGCUGUGAAGAUGCAGUGUACCCGCGGCAAGACGGAAAGACCCCGUGAACCUUUACUAUAGCUUGACACUGAACAUUGAGCCUUGAUGUGUAGGAUAGGUGGGAGGCUUUGAAGUGUGGACGCCAGUCUGCAUGGAGCCGGCCUUGAAAUACCACCCUUUAAUGUUUGAUGUUCUAACGUGGACCCGUGAUCCGGGUUGCGGACAGUGUCUGGUGGGUAGUUUGACUGGGGCGGUCUCCUCCUAAAGAGUAACGGAGGAGCACGAAGGUUGGCUAAUCCUGGUCGGACAUCAGGAGGUUAGUGCAAUGGCAUAAGCCAGCUUGACUGCGAGCGUGACGGCGCGAGCAGGUGCGAAAGCAGGUCAUAGUGAUCCGGUGGUUCUGAAUGGAAGGGCCAUCGCUCAACGGAUAAAAGGUACUCCGGGGAUAACAGGCUGAUACCGCCCAAGAGUUCAUAUCGACGGCGGUGUUUGGCACCUCGAUGUCGGCUCAUCACAUCCUGGGGCUGAAGUAGGUCCCAAGGGUAUGGCUGUUCGCCAUUUAAAGUGGUACGCGAGCUGGGUUUAGAACGUCGUGAGACAGUUCGGUCCCUAUCUGCCGUGGGCGCUGGAGAACUGAGGGGGGCUGCUCCUAGUACGAGAGGACCGGAGUGGACGCAUCACUGGUGUUCGGGUUGUCAUGCCAAUGGCACUGCCCGGUAGCUAAAUGCGGAAGAGAUAAGUGCUGAAAGCAUCUAAGCACGAAACUUGCCCCGAGAUGAGUUCUCCCUGAGACUUAGAGUCUCCUGAAGGAACGUUGAAGACGACGACGUUGAUAGGCCGGGUGUGUAAGCGCAGCGAUGCGUUGAGCUAACCGGUACUAAUGAACCGUGAGGCUUAACCUUACAACGCCGAAG
This 2927-nucleotide ribosomal RNA is filed under the name Salmonella enterica subsp. enterica serovar Schwarzengrund. Its description in RNAcentral is "23S ribosomal RNA". It matches the Rfam family "Bacterial large subunit ribosomal RNA". The record is from RNAcentral. Lineage: Bacteria; Pseudomonadati; Pseudomonadota; Gammaproteobacteria; Enterobacterales; Enterobacteriaceae.